This is a long non-coding RNA of Venturia canescens, 3498 nucleotides long. RefSeq lists it as uncharacterized. The transcript has 3 exons. The record is from RefSeq and is a predicted model, not a curated record. NCBI's taxonomy places the organism in Eukaryota, Metazoa, Arthropoda, Insecta, Hymenoptera, Ichneumonidae.
ACAAAGAAAAUAAAUGUGUGUAUUCGUCACGCUCCACAAAAGCAGGCUCGAAAGAUGGCUCCCGGUUGAGAAGAAAAACGACGGUAGAUCGAGGGCUCGCAAGCAGGCAACGUUUAUCUGUCCAACUAUCUCGUACAUAUACGUCAAAACAGACAAUAAAGCAUUGCGAGAAAUCUCUCGUGUACAAAACUCGACUCUCGUCUAUGCGAGGACGCAAACACUCGCGAUUCGUGACACGGCCUCGAGCAGAGAGCUUCGAGCGAGUGUAUGACCGAUAUGAAAAAAGAACAGAUGAUUAGAUAUUAUACAUCAAGAGCACUCUACGAUGUUCAAGAUAAGUAUGAAAUUAAGGACACAUCUCGUGUUUACGAAGUUUGUAAGUGGAUCUUCUCGAUUCUUAUCGUUGUUUGAUUUUCAAGUCUUCAAAACACCGUCACACGUUCCUCUCAUAUAUUUCGUUAAACUUUGUCGAUUUAAGAUUUAUUUUGUUUUGAAGAUCAUUUUUAUUAGAUUUCGAGCGACGCUUUUUUUCAUACUUAUUUCUUCGCAUCAAUUUUUAGCAUUGACUCAUUGUAACUCGAUUAGUUCGUACAAUAUUUUCGUCAUAAACUCGGUAUUUUUUCAACUCUUUUUGGGGAAGGUUGUUCGGAAAACGUCUUAUUCGCCCGAUCAUACAUGUGCUGAGAAUGUUCGAAAAAAUUCAUCAUUAAAUACAACACGAAAGAGACACGCGGGCUUUUUCUCGGAACACCGUUUUCAUAGCCGAGGAACGUGAUAUCUGAAGAACCACUCGAUCGAUGCUCUUCAAAUUUCCAGGAGAUGCGAUGGAACCAUUCGAAGGUCAUUAGCGAUCACACUUUUCACAAUCGAUCGGCAUUUCUCAGAAGUUACGUCAAAAUGGCGAGUUUUGUCGUGGAUUUUAUGUGUGCUCGAAUUCCAAUCGCUUCGCUACGGUGAAAAUAAAUAUUCUAGGAAUCGAGGAUCAGCGAUGACUCGCGUAAGCCGAAAGGUUUUUGAACUUCGAAUGAAUCGAUCAAGUCGCAAACUGUCAAACGGAACUCGGACGAAAAGGAAGGAAGAUAACUGGAAUUGAAUCGACGCGUCCAUUUACGUUUUGCGGACUCAAAAUCAUUUGAAUGAGCGUACGAAUUCUCAUCGUCGAAACGAAAGUAAAUUCGAGGAAUGAGACGCGCGAAAACUAUUGAAUUACGACGAAUAACCAGGAGGCAUUAAUUACUUUUGUAAUUAACAUCUCGCUGGAUAAUCCGCGUUAAAUCCGCGUCGGCCGGCGAGAUAUUCGAUUUUCUCGCACGUUAUAAUUCGAUAUCUACGUGCAAUGGUGAUAACUCGUCUACUUACGGCUACUUUGGACGACAUGAUUGCAUAUAAACAAAACUAUGUGACGUUCUCGAUCGAGAAUAACGAAUAAACUGAAAGAGUCCUAAGAGCGAGUUGACUUUAUAAAUCGGAGUCAUUUCAACCUUGACCUCGAGUCGAUCUUAAAACGCGUAUAUAAAAAUUCAUAGUGGCUUAUCUCACGCUGAUGUAUCCUGCGCUUGGAACGUCGGAAGAGGAAGAAAUUCUAAACUGUCGCCGAGUAUUUCGAUCGUCCCAAAUAAUGAUCCUGAACGCCUUUCGUAACAACUUUUGCGUUGCAGAAUACAAUAAUUGCCCUGAGGCCCUUAAUCACUUUGUGAUGAAAUUGACCGUCCUCCAAGAUUCGAUGAAUUUGAGGGAGGAUUCCACGAAGACAAAAAUGGAGAAAUGAAAUUAGCAGAAAAUAAACUUUCCAUUUACGAAAUGCGUGCGAGAUGCAACAGCGAAGAUGCGCACGUGCUGUAAAUCUCAUAAAUUUAAAAAACCACGACUAUUUGUGGAGGUCUGUUGUCUUCCAUAUCGUAAUCGCGAUUGACGAUCUAUCGAGAUUCUCGAUUCUCGGGAUACGCGUCGAGAAGUCUGCGUGAAACGAUUGGAAUAUGCCUGUGACGGGAUGGCACGUGAAUAAAAAUAUGAAGGAAGGAUUUUUCUCCACGAUAACACUCGUAUGAAGGAACCUUUUGUUCGCUCGAUGUCAAUCGACGUUUUUGUAAAUGAAAAAUUCAUUAAAAUCUCAAUAGCAACGAAAGCAAUAAAAGCUUCAAGUUCAAAACGAGAUUUCAAAGUCUCAUUAAAAUUAUCAUAAUCGUGGGGAGUUUCAAAGCUGAAUGCUCCAGUGUUUCACAACGCGAUGAUAAAAAGAAGUAACGAAAUAAAUGCCCCAAUUAAUUGCUCUCGUGACAGAUAUAGAGUAUCGAAAUUCCGUGCAUGGAAAAAAGCGAAACUUCUCUCAAGCUUCCUCCGCAAUUGAAUCCAAUUGACUCUGCUGCCGCGGUCACCUUUGAGUUUGUCUAAACGAUACAAAGAGCCUGCCGUUAUUUCACUAAUGAAAGGUAACAACCGGUAGGACGUUUCGUCGCGUCGUAAAAUUCGAAUAACAACGAAAAUGCACGUCCGUGCUUCCAUCCAAUUUCGUCUCCCCCGCCACGAUCUUUGAAUUAUUGCGAAAAAUACUUUCACGAUAACGAAGUUUCUAACGCGAAGAAUAUUGAUAAGAAUGAUGUUGCAUCACUCAUACGUAAUCGUGUUGGGUUAUGAAAAACCAUAUUUGUGUCAAUAGUAUAAUAAUAACAAUGAUUAUCAUUCUCAGUUGCACACUCUUCGGAAAAAACCUUUAUUUCGUUUUAUGCUGACGUUCAACGAUUUUUCAUCAAACUGACCAAACAGUUUCACUCGAUUUUUCUUUUCUCCAAGACUUUUUAUUAUUGAGGCUCUACUAAAAUCAGAUUUUCAAAACUCCCGAAUCGGACUGAAAUCUCAACAUUCUUCAGUUUUCAAAACUUCACGAAAAUUUAUUUGAAAUGAUAAUAAUUCGAAAAAGUUACCCAAAAUAUUUUCUGAUCAAUGAUUUUAUCAAUGGAAUUCUUAAAGUAAAAAAAUUGCAUAAAUUUUUUGAGCCAGUGAUUUGUGAAUAAAUUACUACUGGAAAGUAAGGAAAAAGGUUAAUUUAGAAAGUAUGAAAAAAUUCAAAAGCAUUACAAGAAAUUAACAAAUUAGUUGCAUACGACAGAAAAAUAUUUUCAGUCAGUUUCUCGUCCAAUAAUUUUUCUCAAUAAUUUAUAAAUGACUCGUUGGGAGUUGUAUCAUCGCAUAUCGUUGUUGGCAAAAGAUAUUGAGAAGUUUGACUUGUUAACGAGUCAUUGCUCCGAGACAGCGAUGUCUAAUUCUGUAGGAAUUUCAUUGUGGCAAAUGUGGAUCAAUAUAUUUCAUGAAAACUUUAUUUUACAAGGAAUAAAGAUGCGUGACAUGCAUUUUCAUUUGCUUGAAAGUGAUUGGAUAGUUUUUAAUCGAAAAAUGGAAAAUUGAAUACGAAACGAGAGGAUUUGCGUAAGUUGUAUUUUUCUGGGUUUGUGUAACUUUCUUCAACAGAUAAAAACAAAUAAACAUUUGAUAAGAGCACAA